AGAGUGGAGUGCAGCCAAGAAUGACUUGCCGUCGUAGAGCAACAGAUGGGUUUUCCUGAAUGACCUGUCGCCGGCAGGUUGUUCUUGGCUACAUUUUGCUCUCU
RNAcentral lists this microRNA precursor (104 nucleotides) under Nelumbo nucifera (sacred lotus). Lineage: Eukaryota; Viridiplantae; Streptophyta; Magnoliopsida; Proteales; Nelumbonaceae. The record is from RNAcentral.